Molecule: ribosomal RNA, 730 nt
Filed under: Bibersteinia trehalosi
Lineage: Bacteria; Pseudomonadati; Pseudomonadota; Gammaproteobacteria; Pasteurellales; Pasteurellaceae
Description: bacterial SSU rRNA
Rfam family: Bacterial small subunit ribosomal RNA
Source: RNAcentral
AAAGGGUGGGACUUUCGGGCCACCUGCCAUAAGAUGAGCCCAAGUGGGAUUAGGUAGUUGGUGGGGUAAAGGCCUACCAAGCCUACGAUCUCUAGCUGGUCUGAGAGGAUGGCCAGCCACACUGGAACUGAGACACGGUCCAGACUCCUACGGGAGGCAGCAGUGGGGAAUAUUGCACAAUGGGGGGAACCCUGAUGCAGCCAUGCCGCGUGAAUGAAGAAGGCCUUCGGGUUGUAAAGUUCUUUCGGUGAUGAGGAAGGUGUUUUGUUUAAUAGACAAAGCAAUUGACGUUAGUCACAGAAGAAGCACCGGCUAACUCCGUGCCAGCAGCCGCGGUAAUACGGAGGGUGCGAGCGUUAAUCGGAAUAACUGGGCGUAAAGGGCACGCAGGCGGAUUGUUAAGUGAGAUGUGAAAGCCCCGGGCUUAACCUGGGAAUUGCAUUUCAGACUGGCAGUCUAGAGUAUUUUAGGGAGGGGUAGAAUUCCACGUGUAGCGGUGAAAUGCGUAGAGAUGUGGAGGAAUACCGAAGGCGAAGGCAGCCCCUUGGGAAUAUACUGACGCUCAUGUGCGAAAGCGUGGGGAGCAAACAGGAUUAGAUACCCUGGUAGUCCACGCUGUAAACGAUGUUGAUUUGGGGAUUGGGCUUUAAGCUUGGUGCCCGUAGCUAACGUGAUAAAUCAACCGCCUGGGGAGUACGGCCGCAAGGUUAAAACUCAAAUGAAUUGACGG